Molecule: ribosomal RNA, 253 nt
Filed under: uncultured bacterium
Lineage: Bacteria
Description: partial 16S ribosomal RNA
Rfam family: Bacterial small subunit ribosomal RNA
Source: RNAcentral
UACGUAGGGUGCAAGCGUUGUCCGGAAUUAUUGGGCGUAAAGAGCUCGUAGGCGGUCUGUCGCGUCUGCUGUGAAAACUCAGGGCUUAACCCUGAGCUUGCAGUGGGUACGGGCAGACUAGAGUGCGGUAGGGGAGACUGGAAUUCCUGGUGUAGCGGUGAAAUGCGCAGAUAUCAGGAGGAACACCGGUGGCGAAGGCGGUGGUCUGGGCCGGCACUGACGCUGAGGAGCGAAAGCGUGGGUAGCAAACAGG